GAUGAACGCUGGCGGCGUGCUUAACACAUGCAAGUCGAACGGAAAGGCCCUGCUUUUGUGGGGUUCUCGAGUGGCGAACGCGUGCGUAACACGUGUGUAUCCUGCCCUUGUCUUUCGGAUAACUUAACGAAACUGGGGCUAAUACAGGAUAGGAUAUCCUGCUCCAUGGUGGGCGUUGGAAAGUUGCGGCGGUCGGGGAUGGACUGGCGGCUUAUGAGCUUGUUGGUGGGGUAGUCGCUUACCAAGGCUUUGACGGGUAGCCGGCCUGGGAGGUUGGACGGCGACAAGGGGACUAAGGUACGGACCAGACGCGAACGGGAGGCAAUAGGGGGGAGCAUUGCACAGUGGGCGGGAGCCUGAGGCGACGACGCCGGGUGCGGAAAGACGGCCUUCGGGUUAAGAACCGCUUUCGCCUGUGACGAAGCGUGAGUGACGGUAAUGAAUAAAGAAGCACCGGCUAACUACGUG
RNAcentral lists this ribosomal RNA (468 nucleotides) under uncultured bacterium. RNAcentral's name for it is "partial 16S ribosomal RNA". It matches the Rfam family "Bacterial small subunit ribosomal RNA", at positions 28 to 507 of the family's 1533-position model. The record is from RNAcentral.